GUGGGUAUAGCUCACUGGUAAAGUGCAUGCUCAGCAUGCACUAAGUCCUGGGUUCAAUCCCUAGUACCUCCA
RNAcentral lists this transfer RNA (72 nucleotides) under Camelus ferus (Wild Bactrian camel). It matches the Rfam family "tRNA". From Rfam's summary of the family: Transfer RNA (tRNA) molecules are approximately 80 nucleotides in length. Their secondary structure includes four short double-helical elements and three loops (D, anti-codon, and T loops). Further hydrogen bonds mediate the characteristic L-shaped molecular structure. tRNAs have two regions of fundamental functional importance: the anti-codon, which is responsible for specific mRNA codon recognition, and the 3' end, to which the tRNAs corresponding amino acid is attached (by aminoacyl-tRNA synthetases). tRNAs cope with the degeneracy of the genetic code in two manners: having more than one tRNA (with a specific anti-codon) for a particular amino acid; and 'wobble' base-pairing, i.e. permitting non-standard base-pairing at the 3rd anti-codon position. The record is from Rfam by way of RNAcentral. Lineage: Eukaryota; Metazoa; Chordata; Mammalia; Artiodactyla; Camelidae.